CAGCCGCCGCGGUAAUACGAAGGGUGCAAGCGUUAAUCGGAAUUACUGGGCGUAAAGCGUGCGUAGGCGGUGAGUUAAGUCUGCUGUGAAAUCCCCGGGCUCAACCUGGGAAUGGCAAUGGAUACUGGCAAGCUAGAGUGUGUCAGAGGAUGGUGGGAUUCCCGGUGUAGCGGUGAAAUGCGUAGAGAUCGGGAGGAACAUCAGUGGCGAAGGCGGCCAUCUGGGACAACACUGACGCUGAGGCACGAAAGCGUGGGGAGCAAACAGGAUUAGAUACCCCCGUAGUCCCUGUCUCUUAUAC
Molecule: ribosomal RNA, 301 nt
Filed under: uncultured bacterium
Lineage: Bacteria
Description: partial 16S ribosomal RNA
Rfam family: Bacterial small subunit ribosomal RNA
Source: RNAcentral